GAGGCUAUAGCUCAUGCGGUAGAGCACAUGCUUAGCAUGAACAAGGUCCUGGGUUCAAUCCCCAGUACCUCCU
RNAcentral lists this transfer RNA (73 nucleotides) under Camelus bactrianus (Bactrian camel). It matches the Rfam family "tRNA". Rfam says of the family: Transfer RNA (tRNA) molecules are approximately 80 nucleotides in length. Lineage: Eukaryota; Metazoa; Chordata; Mammalia; Artiodactyla; Camelidae. RNAcentral also lists the same sequence under 1 other name. The record is from Rfam by way of RNAcentral.